This 342-nucleotide ribosomal RNA is filed under the name uncultured soil bacterium. Its description in RNAcentral is "bacterial SSU rRNA". It matches the Rfam family "Bacterial small subunit ribosomal RNA", at positions 26 to 363 of the family's 1533-position model. The record is from RNAcentral.
AGAGUGAACGCUGGCGGUAGGCCUAACACAUGCAAGUCGAACGGCAGCACAGGAGAGCUUGCUCUCUGGGUGGCGAGUGGCGGACGGGUGAGGAAUACAUCGGAAUCUACCUUUUCGUGGGGGAUAACGUAGGGAAACUUACGCUAAUACCGCAUAAGACCUUCGGGUGAAAGCCGGGGACCUUCGGGCCUGGCGCGGAUAGAUGAGCCGAUGUCGGAUUAGCUUGUUGGCGGGGUAAAGGCCCACCAAGGCGACGAUCCGUAGCUGGUCUGAGAGGAUGAUCAGCCACACUGGAACUGAGACACGGUCCAGACCUCCGUACGGGAGCAGCAGUGGGGAAUA